CGAUGUCGGCUCAUCGCAUCCUGGGGCUGUAGUCGGUCCCAAGGGUUGGGCUGUUCGCCCAUUAAAGCGGUACGCGAGCUGGGUUCAGAACGUCGUGAGACAGUUCGGUCCCUAUCCGUCGCGGGCGCAGGAAAUUUGAGAGGAGCUGUCCUUAGUACGAGAGGACCGGGAUGGACGUUCCGCUGGUGUACCAGUUGUGCCGCCAGGCGCAUCGCUGGGUAGCUAUGAACGGAAGGGAUAAACGCUGAAAGCAUCUAAGUGUGAAGCCCCCCUCGAGAUGAGAUUUCCCAUUCCUAUAUGGAAGUAAGACCCCUGAAAGAUGAUCAGGUAGAUAGGCUGGAAGUGGAAGUGCAGCGAUGCAUGGAGCGGACCAGUACUAAUCGGUCGAGGACUUAACCAA
This 400-nucleotide ribosomal RNA is filed under the name Lacticaseibacillus rhamnosus. RNAcentral's name for it is "partial 23S ribosomal RNA". It matches the Rfam family "Bacterial large subunit ribosomal RNA", at positions 2527 to 2925 of the family's 2925-position model. Lineage: Bacteria; Bacillati; Bacillota; Bacilli; Lactobacillales; Lactobacillaceae. The record is from RNAcentral.